UUUAGAAGGCUGUAUUGUAGUGCAGAUGUCUCAUAGUCUACCUACAUUUUCUUAUUUGUAAAGCUGAAGAUUGGGGCUGUAUUUUGUCACCUGUUGCCUACACAGGUCAAAAAGGGCAGAGGGGAAGAAGAUUUACUGAUCAUGCAAGCUUUUGCAGAGAACUUGUUCAUUAUUUCAUUACCUAUUGGUAAAAAGCAGCCACUUUUUUCCCUCUGCUUUUAUGUGCCCCAGAAAAUCGUACAAUAUGUGUGCUCCUAACAGUGCCAGAGAAGCAUAAUGAGGUGUUUAGUCACAGUUUGGAUGUGGUAUUUGUAGAAAACAGUGCAGGAACUGUGGGCUGGAUUUUCAAGGGUAUAGUCCUUGUAAUCCAAGGCUGCCUAAAUCCCAAACUGGUAUCCAGGCAAUAGCGACACUAAAUUCUCCGUUUGCUUUUUGUUAGGCUCUUGUCUGCUGAACAUUUUCCUUUCCUUGCAAGGACUACAGCGUGGCUGAGCAUUUUGGUGGGGGGGUUCGUUGCUUUGGUUUAGGGUUUGGUUUUGUUUCUUGUUAACCCUUGGAUUUCUGUUGGCUCCCUUUAUUGCAGAGCAUCUCCGUAAAUAGGAAUGCAGACAGUCUGGAUGCCGGACUUGGAAAGUAUUUAAUGGUCAUUGGAAAAAAAUGAGGAAGAGGAGGGUGUGGCUGCUGCUGGGAGGCUCUGGCCCUGCAAAGGGUCCCUGGCUCGUAGAGAUGUGGUCCUGCAUCAGCACAAAACGAAGACUUCUUUUCGGAAAUGUAUGUUGAUCUUCUGAAGCUGAAUCCUCAGGCGUUUGUGGCCCGUCCUUGCAGCCUGGUCCUGCUCUGGCCCUUGGAAAGGCAUCGCUGGCUGUGGAGCUGCUGCAGCUCGCCCGAGGUCUGAGCCUGUGGAUUCAGCAUGGAGCCCUCAUCCCCAGCAGCCACUGGAGCCUGUGGAUUCAGCAUGGAGCCCUCAUCUCCAGCAGCCAGGUGGAGCAGCCCACUGAGAAAAGGGAGUUUGGUGCGUGACUGCAAGAUUCACCAGUGCCUCUUCCGCAGCUGCAUAUCAGCCUGGAGGUAGUCACCCUGUCAGGAGUGUAAAAUUUACAGCAGAAAUUAUUUUAAUGCUGGAAAAGCUCUUACUCAUCUGAACCAUCAUUCAAAAUGCACAGUGAAAGUCGCCAAGGAGAAGUUUUCCAUCCCACUGUCUGCAGGACUCCUGCAGGUCUUCUGAUGCUUAAGCAUAUCUGUCUCAGGCUGCCCCUAAAAUUAAAAUGAAGUAAUCUGGCAAAAUGAACUCAGAGCACACAAAGAGGAACCACUGGAGACUGAUCUGCAAGAUAUUCAGGUGUUGCUGUUGAGCAGAAAUUGGAAGGAAACUGUGAGGGUCAAUAGAUUGAGAAAAUGGUCCUGCCCAUCAUCAUAGGAAACCAUGAACCUCUCCACUCUGGGACAGGAGUGACCUGCAGUGACCAGCUCUGCUGCCUUAGGAACAUUAGCUGUACUUCUCAAAUAAGUUUCCCUGAUGACAUGCAAAUCAGAGUCUGUUAACCAUUGGCUGUUCCAGAUACGAUGUCAAAGCCAACAAGGGAGACUUGAUGUAGUAUUACUCAAAAGCAGAAGUAUUUUGAAACAGAAAGAAUGACUUACUGGGGAACCAGGUUAAAAACUAAAGAAGUGAAGAUUGGUCAUCUCUGCAGAGGAAAUUACAAGGUCUUUCUCAGGAGAAACAGCUGUAGAAUGUGGAAUCAGUUGUGUGGAAUUCCUGUUGGCAAGACCUUAGACCCUCGACUUCUGCUAGACCCAGCUGAGGGAUCAAAGAGAGAACUUUUGCAGAUCCCCACAGCAGUGAUGCUGAAAGCCAGGGCAGAUGGUUUCUGUCCCCCUGCAGUGUGACCAAGUGACCUCAGGGUGAGACAUGCUGAGUGAAACAGCUCUCCUUGAUCCAUGUGGGGCUGAUGGAUGCAGCAUUUAUUGUGCUCUUCAAUUAACUAGCAAAAGGUUACUUCACUGAUUAAGGUAGGCUGUUUGUUUUAAAAGUGUGCUUACAUAUUCAAGUAGUGUUUGUAUUAGAAUACAGACUGAUAUCUGUUAUUCCAACUUCUUUAAAUCCACCCUGAAUAGGAAGUGUUGUUGUCUAUCAAACCAGGUGGCAGGAAAUAACAACCCCCUCAAACUUGAGCAGAAGUUUGAAGCUACAGAAGCUGAUGUUGUAGUGGUAGUUCUGCUAAUCCCCCUAGCCAAGGCCUGUGUGGUACAGUGGAGUGUGUUUAAUUUGCUCAUCAAUUCAGAGCUGGGUUCCUGCUCAGUUAGGAGUAUUGCUGACUAAGCCACAAUUCCUCACAGUCUUAAAUUCAUUGCUCAGUCUUUGGGGUUUACCUAUGCAGAACUUGGGAAAUUCACUUUAGAGAACCUCAGUUCUUCCCCAUUAGGAUAAUGGAGAAGGAUCUGGAAGCAUGUUAAACAAUCCCUUUAUUCAGCAUCCAUUCUGAGUCAUAGUGAUGCCUUUCCCAAAGUGACAAACUGUUUGAUAAGGUACAGUCAUGUAGGAGCAGGCAGUACACAAGUGCAGUUAUUAAAAAUGAAUGCUGUAUCCUGUUUCCCUUGUGUAUCUUGUCACUGACAUGACUUCACAAGUUGCAAAUCUAUUAAACAUUUCAAACAUGGAACUGGAGCUCAUUAAGCAGAAUGUUGACUGGUAUAUAGCAAACCGUUUCACAUUCAAGACUGUUAACAUUUGUCUCCAGAGUUUUUUGUCUUCUAGGUUGUCACUAAGCAAUCCAGCUGUCUGGGAAUGCAGCCUGUGCUUCCUGUGAUCAGAAUGAGACUGUCCUUUGGGGUGAGGUAGUAGGUUGUAUAGUUUUAGGGCUAUGCCCUGCCUGUCAGAUAACUAUACAAUCUACUGUCUUUCCUGAAGUGGCUGUGAUGUCAGCGCUGGAUGGCUCCAAAAGCCAACAGAUAUUUUUCAACUGUACCAUUCUCUGGCUCUGUCUGCAUGUUUGGUUCUUGUACACAAAUGUACUGUAACACUCCUCAGAGUGUUUAGAUUCCUGUAUUUCCCAUUCAGGCUCAGAAGCCAUUUCCUUGUGGCAUUUUUGGAGAGCAGGUGGGGUGUGAGUGCAGGACACAGCGGUACAGCCCAGCCUGCAGUGGAUUUGCUCACACCCAGCUGUGUGGGACUGCCAUGGGAGUGGCCACUUGGAAACAGCUGAUCCAUCUCUCCCUUGUUUUCUGGCAUCUGUGUUCAUAUUAAACAUAAAUGGUACUUUUGAUUCAGCAGCUGUUUAAAUCCACUUGGUGUAGGCUGUUUGAGAAACUCCAAAGGGAUGAGCUGGACAAAACCCUGAGAGGAUGUCUUCCCAGUCAGUCGUGUUCUGCCCUGGAAAUGGUAAAUACUUGAACCCUGAGUAAGAGGUCUCUUCAGUCCAUUUUGGGCACUGAUUUAACUCACUUUUUUAUUACAUAUUGCUAGUUUUGGAGGGACAGUGUUUGCCACUGCAGUUCUCCUGUCUCUGCAGUCCCUCCACCAGUUCUGUCUGACUCCCAGGUGGAGCUGUGGGGAAGGGCUGAGGUCACACAUGGCCUCUCUAAGGCUGGAGAGUGAUAAGGUAAUUUACUUGCAAAUGGUGAGAUGUUUCCUUCAGAAGAUGCACGUGAUGCUCUAACAGGAUGAGGUAGUAGGUUGUGUGGUUUCAGGGUAGUGAUUUUGCCCCAAUCAGGAGAUAACUAUACAACCUACUGCCUUCCCUGAUAGGCAGCAUAACGACCUCAGUGUCUUAAUUCACAGAGAAACAAGAGCUAAGAUACACUCCUGAGAAAUACUUCUGAGACCAGCAAAGUAAGUCUAGAUACAGUUGUUGCUAUCCUGUCCCUAAUAGCUCUAAAUUUAGAUUUUAAGUGUAGAUUUUUGAUAACUGCCUGCAAAAUAAUUACCCUUUUUAAAGUCUUUAUCAUGAAAAAUUGAAUUAAAGAAGUUUUAUUUAUUUCAAAGUU
Molecule: non-coding RNA, 3984 nt
Organism: Zonotrichia albicollis (white-throated sparrow)
Lineage: Eukaryota; Metazoa; Chordata; Aves; Passeriformes; Passerellidae
Source: RefSeq, a predicted model, not a curated record